UGAAUGUGAUUUGGAACGACUUCCUAAAUCUCAUUCAUACUCUGGCCAGAGAUUCUUAAUCAUAUCAUAAAGUAUUCUCCCCCAAACGGUUUGAAGGUUAGAGAUCCCUUGUUGCGCAUUCACUUGCCUCCAUGGCUAAGUGGCUUAACCCCGACGAUGCCGUGGACACCCUCCUGAUGGAGUGACUUUGACAUAAUCAAAUAUCAAGGACUUAACCACAAGACAACUAUGAUGCCUAAGGUCAAAUGACUACUUUGCAUUAUCCCAACCAUGAGUUCUCAUGUGACAUGAGUAUGAGAACUCCUCGUUGAUCAUGUUCAGUGGACUCAUUCAUUAUUGAGCACCUACAUGCUUGUCUUGAUGUCACACACACCAAUGACUCGAGACUAGUCACUCUCCCUGAGAGAAGACACAUCACGUACUGAUCUUAACGGACUGUCAAUGCCCAAUUGGCAAUCCUAUGAUCAGGAACGUUUAGGAUGUGUCUACGAAAGAAUGGUCUCAUGAAUCUAACUUCUUUAGAUCGCUUUCUCCCAAUCACAUAUUCCUUAGACUUAUCGUUUAAGCGUAUAACAUUUAUAUGAGACGGCUCAAACAAUAAUCUUUGCCCUUGAUAUUAAACUAAAUUAGUUUAACAUGUGAAAUGUCUGUAAAGUAUCAUCAUAUGAUUGGUUUUAGGGCACAUUUCCAACACUGUGAAGAUGAGAAAAGAGAGAGCUCGAAGAUAAAGAGAGAGAGAUAGAGACUUAAACAUUUCAGACGGUUUAAACCAUCUGCAGCUCAUCUGUAAGGUGAGGUGUGGUCUCAAAACCAAGGCCAAAAGCAGAUGGUUUUAAUUACGAAAACCAUGGACUGUGGUGGUUUUAAUUAUGAAAACCAACCAAUUGGACAUGUGAUGUGAAAGAGCAGAGGUGAGGUGACGAUUUGAGUGGGUGGGCUUUUUAUAUUUUUAUAAGUUUGGGGUAUUUAUUAUGUGUGUGUGUGUAAAUCUUAUAUAAAUUAUAAAUUAUUUAGAUAAUAUUUUGUUUGUUUUUCUAGGCAAGCAUAUCAUAUAUGUACAUAAAACAUUCACAUAUGUAUGUUAUUCUAUAAAAAUUAGCAUAUCAGUCAAUAAUUAUUUACAUUUGAUAUAGUAAAUUUAAUUAAUUCAUAAAAUAUAUAAGAAAUUUACCUAAAUCCACCUAGGUUGCCUAGGCGCCCGCCUAGACCUAGCGCUAGGCGCUAAGUGCUAGUCCGCCGCCCGACUAGCGCCUAGCGUUUUUUAGAACGGUGAUUGUGACGUAAGGACUACAUUGAUUUGAGACACAUUCUUGUGGGACUACAUUGAUCGAUUUUUAAUUUCAGGGACCAUUUUGAUGUCGCAGGUCAAUUUCAGGGAUCAUUUUGAUGUUGCAGGUCAAUUUUAAGGAUCAUUUGUGAGAAUAAAGGACUUAUAAGAUCCAUUUAUGUGUCACAUCAGAAUUUAACAUAAUUUUUAACAGAAUUGUGACAGAAUGACCAUAUUUAUUUGCGACACCUAUUUUCAGGGACUACAUUGAUUAAUUUUCAAUUUCAAUGACCAUCUUGAUGGUGAGGGUUAAUUUCAAAGAUCAUUUGUGAUCAAAACCCCUUGUUUUUUUUGUUUCUAUUUUGCUUAAAUUUAUGUGGGCCUCCUUGGAUGUAUUGUUUGUAGUUAAUCUAUUUUGCCUUUUUAUGUUGUGUUUAUUUUGUUUAUGUUAGGUAUGCAUAUAAUAUUUGGAUGGGCCUAAUAUGCAAGGAUUGUGGAACUGAGCUAUAUGUACUUCAUUGAGUUUUGAAGUAUAUAAUUUGUUUUCAUCAAUACUUGCCCUUUUUAUUUUUUUUAUUUUUUUUUAAUUUUUUGGUUCAAAUCAAUACUUGCCCUUUAGUUUCAUCAACAUUGUAGAUUGACGACACUGUUAUAGGUUUAUAGAAAGGAAGUGAUUUUUCUACCCUUUUUAGCCUCUUAAACACUUCUGUUUAAUCCUAGCCAAUGAUUCUGUUUGAUUUAUUCAAUCUAAUGACUAUAAAUAAAAAAGGGUGUGUGAGAAACUAUAAACAACGUAUGAAAAUCACUUCUCUUAUGGAAAAACCCUAAGGCAUGCAAAGAUUAUUUAAUUAGUGAUUACAUAAUGACUUGUCUUAUUAACACCCCACAUUUUGUUGACUACACCCUAUAUACUUAAUACAUUCCACAUUUACUUUUUAAAUUAAAAUUUUUCUUAACACACCCCACAUAUUUUCCAAUACUACCCUCACACCUUAUCUCAUACACUCCACACCUCACAUCUCAUACACUCCACACCCCACAAUCAUCAACUAAUUAACCACACAUCAAACUCUUCAUCUAUUUCAAACAAAAGAAUAAUCCGCAUUUUAAAGACAAGAAAAAUGAAUUAAAUUGUGGUAUAAAAUUUUCAUCUUGCCGUUUGAUUUAUAAACAUCCAUCAAAUUUUCUUGAACAAUCACGUUGGAUUCUAAAAAGCCUAAUGGACAAAUGGUAGGAAUUGUUCUUAUAAGGUCAUGUUAGUUCCAACCAGCCAAAAAACAUUGAAUUUCUUCAUCAAACAACCACAAGAAUAUUGCAUUUAACUACUACAUCUUAAAAUUUUACAACGUUCCCCAGUUUUCUUCCUAUUUCUUGGAUUCCAAUUAGAGCAUGGCUUUGCAAAAAGUCAAAUUUUUAUUCCAUUAUUUAAAAGGAAAACUAAUGAAAAGGGCUUGAAAACUUUGAGUUUUAAUGAUAAGGACAAAAUAAAGGGUAAAGUGAAUAGUACCAAGAUUGACUUUUUAGUGAAAAAUGUGGUUUUUCGUUAAAAUAAACAGUACCGGGUGCUUUUCAUUAAAGUUCCCUUAUUUAAAUAGUUUCUUGAAUGUGAAAACCAACGAAUGAAAGAAGAGCAAAACUCAAUUUUUUGUUCAGUUCAUCA
This 2927-nucleotide long non-coding RNA is filed under the name Malus domestica (apple). RNAcentral's name for it is "long non-coding RNA (MDOM_LNC004623)". Lineage: Eukaryota; Viridiplantae; Streptophyta; Magnoliopsida; Rosales; Rosaceae. The record is from RNAcentral.